GAGGCAGCAGCUGGGGAAUCUUCCGCAAUGGGCGAAAGCCUGACGGAGCAACGCCGCGUUGAGUGAAGACGGCCUUCGGGUUGUAAAACUCUGUGAUUCGGGACGAAAGAUAAGUAGACGAAUAAUCUGCAUAAGUGACGGUACCGAAAAAGCAAGCCACGGCUAACUACGUGCCAGCAGCCGCGGUAAUACGUAGGUGGCAAGCGUUGUCCGGAAUUAUUGGGCGUAAAGCGCGCGCAGGCGGCUACUUAAGUCCAUCUUAAAAGUGCGGGGCUUAACCCCGUGAUGGGAUGGAAACUGAGAAGCUGGAGUGUCGGAGAGGAAAGUGGAAUUCCUAGUGUAGCGGUGAAAUGCGUGGAGAUUAGGAAGAACACCGGUGGCGAAGGCGACUUUCUGGACGACAACUGACGCUUGGGCGCGAAAGCGUGGGGAGCAAACAGGAUUAGAUACCCUGGUAGUCCACGCCGUAAACGAUGGAUACUAGGUGUAGGAGGUAUCGACCCCUUCUGUGCCGGAGUUAACGCAAUAAGUAUCCCGCCUGGGAA
RNAcentral lists this ribosomal RNA (545 nucleotides) under uncultured bacterium. RNAcentral's name for it is "bacterial SSU rRNA". It matches the Rfam family "Bacterial small subunit ribosomal RNA", at positions 345 to 879 of the family's 1533-position model. The record is from RNAcentral.